AUUGAACGCUGGCGGCAGGCCUAACACAUGCAAGUCGAGCGGUAGCACAGGGAGCUUGCUCCUGGGUGACGAGCGGCGGACGGGUGAGUAGUGUCUGGGAAACUGCCUGAUGGAGGGGGAUAACUACUGGAGACGGUAGCUAAUACCGCAUAACGUCGCAAGACCAAAGAGGGGGACCUUCGGGCCUCUUGCCAUCAGAUGUGCCCAGAUGGGAUUAGCUAGUAGGUGGGGUAACGGCUCACCUAGGCGACGAUCCCUAGCUGGUCUGAGAGGAUGACCAGCCACACUGGAACUGAGACACGGUCCAGACUCCUACGGGAGGCAGCAGUGGGGAAUAUUGCACAAUGGGCGCAAGCCUGAUGCAGCCAUGCCGCGUGUAUGAAGAAGGCCUUCGGGUUGUAAAGUACUUUCAGCGGGGAGGAAGGUGUUGAGGUUAAUAACCUCAGCAAUUGACGUUACCCGCAGAAGAAGCACCGGCUAACUCCGUGCCAGCCGCCGCAGUAA
Molecule: ribosomal RNA, 504 nt
Filed under: uncultured bacterium
Lineage: Bacteria
Description: partial 16S ribosomal RNA
Rfam family: Bacterial small subunit ribosomal RNA
Source: RNAcentral